RNAcentral lists this ribosomal RNA (253 nucleotides) under uncultured bacterium. RNAcentral describes it as "partial 16S ribosomal RNA". It matches the Rfam family "Bacterial small subunit ribosomal RNA", at positions 524 to 776 of the family's 1533-position model. The record is from RNAcentral.
UACAGAGGGUGCGAGCGUUAAUCGGAAUUACUGGGCGUAAAGGGCUCGUAGGCGGCCAACUAAGUCGGACGUGAAAUCCCCAGGCUCAACCUGGGAACUGCGUCCGAUACUGGAUGGCUUGAAUUCGGGAGAGGGAUGCAGAAUUCCAGGUGUAGCGGUGAAAUGCGUAGAUAUCUGGAGGAAUACCGGUGGCGAAGGCGGCAUCCUGGACCGACAUUGACGCUGAUGAGCGAAAGCCAGGGGAGCAAACGGG